GCAACUCUGGAGAACUCAUUGAAUUGGGUGCCGAAGGUGCAAGACCGCAGCGGUCGAAUCUCUCAGGCAAAGGGACAGGGGCAG
This 84-nucleotide non-coding RNA is filed under the name human gut metagenome. RNAcentral's name for it is "Glycine riboswitch". It matches the Rfam family "Glycine riboswitch aptamer", at positions 9 to 86 of the family's 94-position model. From Rfam's summary of the family: This family represents the bacterial glycine riboswitch. Glycine riboswitches usually consist of two metabolite-binding aptamers domains with similar structures in tandem. The aptamers cooperatively bind glycine to regulate the expression of downstream genes. The record is from RNAcentral.